GGGGGGAGCAAGCGUUGUUCGGAUUUACUGGGCGUAAAGGGCGCGUAGGCGGCGCAACAAGUCACUUGUGAAAUCUCCGGGCUUAACCCGGAGCGGCCAAGUGAUACUGUCGUGCUAGAGUGCGGAAGGGGCUACUGGAAUUCUCGGUGUAGCGGUGAAAUGCGUAGAUAUCGAGAGGAACACCUGCGGCGAAGGCGGGUAGCUGGGCCGACACUGACGCUGAGGCGCGAAAGCCAGGGGAGCGAACGGGAUUAGAUACCCCGGUAGUCCUGGCCUUAAACGAUGGAUGCUUGGUGUCCGAGGUUACAUAGUCCUCGGGUGCCGGCGCUAACGCAUUAAGCAUCCCGCCUGGGGAGUACGGUCGCAAGACUGAA
Molecule: ribosomal RNA, 374 nt
Filed under: uncultured bacterium
Lineage: Bacteria
Description: bacterial SSU rRNA
Rfam family: Bacterial small subunit ribosomal RNA
Source: RNAcentral